Molecule: small nuclear RNA, 104 nt
Organism: Hippopotamus amphibius kiboko
Lineage: Eukaryota; Metazoa; Chordata; Mammalia; Artiodactyla; Hippopotamidae
Source: RefSeq, a predicted model, not a curated record
GUGCUCGCUUCGGCAGCACAUAUACUAAAAUUGGAACGAUACAGAGAAGAUUAGCAUGGACCCUAAAAAAAAAAAAAAAGAAAAUCCAAUCUCUGCCCUUUUUU